This 253-nucleotide ribosomal RNA is filed under the name uncultured bacterium. RNAcentral's name for it is "partial 16S ribosomal RNA". It matches the Rfam family "Bacterial small subunit ribosomal RNA", at positions 524 to 776 of the family's 1533-position model. The record is from RNAcentral.
UACAGAGGUCUCAAGCGUUGUUCGGAUUCAUUGGGCGUAAAGGGUGUGUAGGUGGCGCGCUAAGUCGGGUGUGAAAUUUCGGAGCUUAACUCCGAAACUGCAUCCGAUACUGGCGUGCUUGAGGACUGGAGAGGAGACUGGAAUUCAUGGUGUAGCAGUGAAAUGCGUAGAGAUCAGGAGGAAGACCAGUGGCGAAGGCGGGUCUCUGGACAGUUCCUGACACUGAGACACGAAGGCCAGGGGAGCAAACGGG